GGGUUGUGAGGUUAAGCGACUAAGCGUACACGGUGGAUGCCCUGGCAGUCAGAGGCGAUGAAGGACGUGCUAAUCUGCGAAAAGCGUCGGUAAGGUGAUAUGAACCGUUAUAACCGGCGAUGUCCGAAUGGGGAAACCCAGUGCAAUUCGUUGCACUAUCGUUAACUGAAUACAUAGGUUAACGAGGCGAACCGGGGGAACUGAAACAUCUAAGUACCCCGAGGAAAAGAAAUCAACCGAGAUUCCCCCAGUAGCGGCGAGCGAACGGGGAGCAGCCCAGAGUCUGAAUCAGCUUGUGUGUUAGUGGAACGGUCUGGAAAGUCCGACGGUACAGGGUGAUAGUCCCGUACACCAAAAUGCACAGGCUGUGAACUCGAAGAGUAGGGCGGGACACGUGGUAUCCUGUCUGAAUAUGGGGGGACCAUCCUCCAAGGCUAAAUACUCCUGACUGACCGAUAGUGAACCAGUACCGUGAGGGAAAGGCGAAAAGAACCCCGGCGAGGGGAGUGAAAAAGAACCUGAAACCGUGUACGUACAAGCAGUGGGAGCACCUUCGGGUGUGACUGCGUACCUUUUGUAUAAUGGGUCAGCGACUUAUAUUCUGUAGCAAGGUUAACCGUAUAGGGGAGCCGCAGGGAAACCGAGUCUUAACUGGGCGUUAAGUUGCAGGGUAUAGACCCGAAACCCGGUGAUCUAGCCAUGGGCAGGUUGAAGGUUGGGUAACACUAACUGGAGGACCGAACCGACUAAUGUUGAAAAAUUAGCGGAUGACUUGUGGCUGGGGGUGAAAGGCCAAUCAAACCGGGAGAUAGCUGGUUCUCCCCGAAAGCUAUUUAGGUAGCGCCUCGUGAACUCAUCUUCGGGGGUAGAGCACUGUUUCGGCUAGGGGGUCAUCCCGACUUACCAACCCGAUGCAAACUACGAAUACCGAAGAAUGUUAUCACGGGAGACACACGGCGGGUGCUAACGUCCGUCGUGAAGAGGGAAACAACCCAGACCGCCAGCUAAGGUCCCAAAGUCAUGGUUAAGUGGGAAACGAUGUGGGAAGGCACAGACAGCCAGGAUGUUGGCUUAGAAGCAGCCAUCAUUUAAAGAAAGCGUAAUAGCUCACUGGUCGAGUCGGCCUGCGCGGAAGAUGUAACGGGGCUAAACCAUGCACCGAAGCUGCGGCAGCGACACUAUGUGUUGUUGGGUAGGGGAGCGUUCUGUAAGCCUGCGAAGGUGACCUGUGAGGGUUGCUGGAGGUAUCAGAAGUGCGAAUGCUGACAUAAGUAACGAUAAAGCGGGUGAAAAGCCCGCUCGCCGGAAGACCAAGGGUUCCUGUCCAACGUUAAUCGGGGCAGGGUGAGUCGACCCCUAAGGCGAGGCCGAAAGGCGUAGUCGAUGGGAAACAGGUUAAUAUUCCUGUACUUGGUGUUACUGCGAAGGGGGGACGGAGAAGGCUAUGUUAGCCGGGCGACGGUUGUCCCGGUUUAAGCAUGUAGGCUGAUUGUCCAGGCAAAUCCGGAUAAUCAAGGCUGAGGUGUGAUGACGAGGCACUACGGUGCUGAAGUAACAAAUGCCCUGCUUCCAGGAAAAGCCUCUAAGCAUCAGGUAACAUCAAAUCGUACCCCAAACCGACACAGGUGGUCAGGUAGAGAAUACCAAGGCGCUUGAGAGAACUCGGGUGAAGGAACUAGGCAAAAUGGUGCCGUAACUUCGGGAGAAGGCACGCUGGUGUGUAGGUGAAGUCCCUGCGGAUGGAGCUGAGACCAGUCGAAGAUACCAGCUGGCUGCAACUGUUUAUUAAAAACACAGCACUGUGCAAACACGAAAGUGGACGUAUACGGUGUGACGCCUGCCCGGUGCCGGAAGGUUAAUUGAUGGGGUUAUCCGUAAGGAGAAGCUCUUGAUCGAAGCCCCGGUAAACGGCGGCCGUAACUAUAACGGUCCUAAGGUAGCGAAAUUCCUUGUCGGGUAAGUUCCGACCUGCACGAAUGGCGUAAUGAUGGCCAGGCUGUCUCCACCCGAGACUCAGUGAAAUUGAACUCGCUGUGAAGAUGCAGUGUACCCGCGGCAAGACGGAAAGACCCCGUGAACCUUUACUAUAGCUUGACACUGAACAUUGAGCCUUGAUGUGUAGGAUAGGUGGGAGGCUUUGAAGCGUGGACGCCAGUCUGCGUGGAGCCAACCUUGAAAUACCACCCUUUAAUGUUUGAUGUUCUAACGUUGGCCCCUUAUCGGGGUUGCGGACAGUGUCUGGUGGGUAGUUUGACUGGGGCGGUCUCCUCCCAAAGCGUAACGGAGGAGCACGAAGGUUAGCUAAUCCUGGUCGGACAUCAGGAGGUUAGUGCAAUGGCAUAAGCUAGCUUGACUGCGAGCGUGACGGCGCGAGCAGGUGCGAAAGCAGGUCAUAGUGAUCCGGUGGUUCUGAAUGGAAGGGCCAUCGCUCAACGGAUAAAAGGUACUCCGGGGAUAACAGGCUGAUACCGCCCAAGAGUUCAUAUCGACGGCGGUGUUUGGCACCUCGAUGUCGGCUCAUCACAUCCUGGGGCUGAAGUAGGUCCCAAGGGUAUGGCUGUUCGCCAUUUAAAGUGGUACGCGAGCUGGGUUUAGAACGUCGUGAGACAGUUCGGUCCCUAUCUGCCGUGGGCGCUGGAGAAUUGAGGGGGGCUGCUCCUAGUACGAGAGGACCGGAGUGGACGCAUCACUGGUGUUCGGGUUGUCAUGCCAAUGGCACUGCCCGGUAGCUAAAUGCGGAAGAGAUAAGUGCUGAAAGCAUCUAAGCACGAAACUUGCCCCGAGAUGAGUUCUCCCUGAGACUUUAAGUCUCCUGAAGGAACGUUAAAGACGAUGACGUUGAUAGGCCGGGUGUGUAAGCGCAGCGAUGCGUUGAGCUAACCGGUACUAAUGAACCGUGAGGCUUAACCUUACAACGCCGAAG
This 2923-nucleotide ribosomal RNA is filed under the name Klebsiella pneumoniae. RNAcentral's name for it is "bacterial LSU rRNA". It matches the Rfam family "Bacterial large subunit ribosomal RNA". The record is from RNAcentral. Lineage: Bacteria; Pseudomonadati; Pseudomonadota; Gammaproteobacteria; Enterobacterales; Enterobacteriaceae.